This 2071-nucleotide unclassified non-coding RNA is filed under the name Hevea brasiliensis (rubber tree). Lineage: Eukaryota; Viridiplantae; Streptophyta; Magnoliopsida; Malpighiales; Euphorbiaceae. The record is from RNAcentral.
GGAAGCAAGAACUUGUUCCCAUUGACAAUAGCUUACAUCUUCUGGUGUUCCUUCUCCAUUUUUUGGAGCUGAGAAAUGAAGAGCGAAGCAAAUUUUUAGAUAUGCUAGGGAGCUAGGACUAAAAUGCACAACUGAGUAGGAGUUGAAGCCCCAAGAGAGUCUGGAACGUCUGGAUAUAUCCAGACCAAUAAGUUUUUGGUCAAAUCGAAAAUUGGAAAAGCUGCUCAUCAUACUAAGCGAUUUCAGGCUACAAAACCCAACAUAGACAUGGUUGAACAUAGCCGCAAACGAAAAUUUUAUGCUAAGCUUUUUGAAUUUGAAGAUAAACUUUUAGAACAUGGUUAUUCUGACACAGAAAUUGCAAAGAUGCUUGAUGAAACUGGGAGGAAUUUGGAUGCCUCUAUAGCUGCGCCUGAAGUGGAAGAUCCAGUGUUCUGUUAUUAUUUCUUAUUUCCUUUCCUUUUUCUGUGUAUGUUUGCAAGAAAUUAAAACGAAUGAUAUACCAAAAAUAUAAAAUAGCUAAAUUUGUUUUUAAAGAUUCUAAAUUCCUGCAAGAUUAUAUGUUCAACUCCUAUCCGGAGGAAACAUAAUUACCUAUGCACAGCCAGAAGCAAAACCCAACAAGGCAGGAUAAAUUCCUUGACAUUUGCAUCUGUCUGACUCAUUCACGACUUCAUAGCCUGAUCAAAGUAUUCACUUUCUUGGUCUGAAUAUCAUACAUUUUCUUUACUGCAUCUUUGAUUUUCUUCUUGUCUGCACGAAUGUCAACAAUAAACACAAGUGUGUUGUUGUCCUCAAUCUUCUUCAUGGCAGACUCGGUAGUUAGUGGAUACUUCAGAAUCUGAUAGUGGUCCAACUUGUUUCUUGGUGGAGCACUGAUGCGAGGAUACUUUGGGUUUCUCUCCUUCUUCAAUGUCUUGGGCCGGUGGAAUGUGACCUUUGUCCUGAUCUUCUUAGCUUUCUUCUUAAAUGUUGGUCCUGAUUUCACAGCCUUGGCAGCUUUGACAGCUUGCGCCUUUGGAUCAUUCUUUUUGGUAGCAUCAGCUGCAAGAAGUGAAGACAAGUUUUUGUAGCACCAAAUAAAAACCAGAUACAGGACGCAUAUUUCUGAGAUUAAAGGAGGUAAAAAGUAGACGUGCACAACAAUGCAUUUGAAAACUCCAUGUCCAAGGCCAGGCCAAUAAACUCAAAAUCACAAUAAGCUGAGCAAACAUCAAUUGCCGUGGCAAAAAUGUGCAUUCUACUGAGAUUUCUUUUUUUCAAAUUUUGUCCAAUAUUAAAGCCUAUGAAAACAAAAAAUAAUUUUAAUUUUAGAAACAAUAUCUUAAUAUUUCCAAUUCUUUCUCUACACAAAAACAUAAGACUGGCUAUCAUGAUAAUUUCGUGAUUAAUAGUUUCCUGUCCUAAUACAGCAUCUUCCUUCUCCUUUUACGAUUACCAGUUUGGCCAACACAGAUGUACGCUUAUAGCCUUAUACAAAUUAAAUAGCUAAGACAAAGUUUUUGUUAUUCAUUUUAAAAAAUACUAUAUAUUGAUGCAUUUAAUUAGAUUUAAAGACACUAGGUUAAAAUCUUAAAUGUGAAUAAAAACCUCAUUUGAAUAUGGAUUAGAAAUAGCUAAUAAAAAAGCCAUUACCCCAAAUAUGACACCAAUCUCAUUCAAGAAUUUAAUUAAUUAACAAAUAAGUUAACUUUCAACUACAAAUUUAAAUCACUAACUUCAAGUCUUUCCAUUCAAACAUCGCACAUCCAUUGCAUACAACAAUCGGGCACCAUUCAAGGAAUUGUCAGCAUAUAAAAACAGCCCCAACAACUAAUAGACAGGCAACACACUACUAUUAGAAACUAACACGCUACCAUUGGAAAUAACCAAGAAAGCCAAUUUACACGGUCAAGAAUACACCCUUAAUAAGCAAAAACAAGACUACAGCUAGGGACAUAAAAUAUAAAUUAUCCGAAAAAAGGCUAGUCUUUUGAAGUCCUAACAGAAACCCAAACCUCAAUUUCUAUUAAGAUCAGAAAACUAGCUCCAUGCGAACAUAUAGACAAUAUAAUAAUGCACCCCAAAUAGU